UGCUGGAGGUAUCAGAAGUGCGAAUGCUGACAUAAGUAACGAUAAAGCGGGUGAAAAGCCCGCUCGCCGGAAGACCAAGGGUUCCUGUCCAACGUUAAUCGGGGCAGGGUGAGUCGACCCCUAAGGCGAGGCCGAAAGGCGUAGUCGAUGGGAAACAGGUUAAUAUUCCUGUACUUGGUGUUACUGCGAAGGGGGGACGGAGAAGGCUAUGUUAGCCGGGCGACGGUUGUCCCGGUUUAAGCAUGUAGGCUGGUUAUCCAGGCAAAUCCGGAUAAUCAAGGCUGAGGUGUGAUGACGAGGCACUACGGUGCUGAAGUAACAAAUGCCCUGCUUCCAGGAAAAGCCUCUAAGCAUCAGGUAACAUCAAAUCGUACCCCAAACCGACACAGGUGGUCAGGUAGAGAAUACCAAGGCGCUUGAGAGAACUCGGGUGAAGGAACUAGGCAAAAUGGUGCCGUAACUUCGGGAGAAGGCACGCUGGUGUGUAGGUGAAGUCCCUGCGGAUGGAGCUGAGACCAGUCGAAGAUACCAGCUGGCUGCAACUGUUUAUUAAAAACACAGCACUGUGCAAACACGAAAGUGGACGUAUACGGUGUGACGCCUGCCCGGUGCCGGAAGGUUAAUUGAUGGGGUUAUCCGUAAGGAGAAGCUCUUGAUCGAAGCCCCGGUAAACGGCGGCCGUAACUAUAACGGUCCUAAGGUAGCGAAAUUCCUUGUCGGGUAAGUUCCGACCUGCACGAAUGGCGUAAUGAUGGCCAGGCUGUCUCCACCCGAGACUCAGUGAAAUUGAACUCGCUGUGAAGAUGCAGUGUACCCGCGGCAAGACGGAAAGACCCCGUGAACCUUUACUAUAGCUUGACACUGAACAUUGAGCCUUGAUGUGUAGGAUAGGUGGGAGGCUUUGAAGCGUGGACGCCAGUCUGCGUGGAGCCAACCUUGAAAUACCACCCUUUAAUGUUUGAUGUUCUAACGUUGGCCCCUGACCGGGGUUGCGGACAGUGUCUGGUGGGUAGUUUGACUGGGGCGGUCUCCUCCCAAAGCGUAACGGAGGAGCACGAAGGUUAGCUAAUCCUGGUCGGACAUCAGGAGGUUAGUGCAAUGGCAUAAGCUAGCUUGACUGCGAGCGUGACGGCGCGAGCAGGUGCGAAAGCAGGUCAUAGUGAUCCGGUGGUUCUGAAUGGAAGGGCCAUCGCUCAACGGAUAAAAGGUACUCCGGGGAUAACAGGCUGAUACCGCCCAAGAGUUCAUAUCGACGGCGGUGUUUGGCACCUCGAUGUCGGCUCAUCACAUCCUGGGGCUGAAGUAGGUCCCAAGGGUAUGGCUGUUCGCCAUUUAAAGUGGUACGCGAGCUGGGUUUAGAACGUCGUGAGACAGUUCGGUCCCUAUCUGCCGUGGGCGCUGGAGAAUUGAGGGGGGCUGCUCCUAGUACGAGAGGACCGGAGUGGACGCAUCACUGGUGUUCGGGUUGUCAUGCCAAUGGCACUGCCCGGUAGCUAAAUGCGGAAGAGAUAAGUGCUGAAA
This 1521-nucleotide ribosomal RNA is filed under the name Klebsiella pneumoniae. Its description in RNAcentral is "partial 23S ribosomal RNA". It matches the Rfam family "Bacterial large subunit ribosomal RNA", at positions 1271 to 2776 of the family's 2925-position model. Lineage: Bacteria; Pseudomonadati; Pseudomonadota; Gammaproteobacteria; Enterobacterales; Enterobacteriaceae. The record is from RNAcentral.